RNAcentral lists this ribosomal RNA (491 nucleotides) under uncultured bacterium. RNAcentral's name for it is "partial 16S ribosomal RNA". It matches the Rfam family "Bacterial small subunit ribosomal RNA", at positions 28 to 507 of the family's 1533-position model. The record is from RNAcentral.
GAUGAACGCUAGCUACAGGCUUAACACAUGCAAGUCGAGGGGAAACGACAUUGAAGCUUGCUUCGAUGGUCGUCGACCGGCGCACGGGUGAGUAACGCGUAUCCAACCUGCCUCUGACCAAGGGAUAACCCGUCGAAAGUCGGCCUAAUACCUUAUGCAGUCGUCGGAAGUCAUCUGAUGACGACGAAAGAUUUCAUCGGUGAGAGAUGGGGAUGCGUCUGAUUAGCUUGUUGGCGGGGUAACGACCCACCAAGGCAACGAUCAGUAGGGGUUCUGAGAGGAAGGUCCCCCACAUUGGAACUGAGACACGGUCCAAACUCCUACGGGAGGCAGCAGUGAGGAAUAUUGGUCAAUGGGCGAGAGCCUGAACCAGCCAAGUAGCGUGCAGGAUGACGGCCCUAUGGGUUGUAAACUGCUUUUAUGCGGGGAUAAAGUGAGGGACGUGUCCUUCAUUGCAGGUACCGCAUGAAUAAGGACCGGCUAAUUCCGUG